CCUACGGGUGGCUGCAGUGAGGAAUAUUGGUCAAUGGACGGAAGUCUGAACCAGCCAUGCCGCGUGCAGGAAGACGGCUCUAUGAGUUGUAAACUUCUUUUGUACAAGGGUAAACCUGAAUACGUGUAUUCAUCUGCAAGUACUUUACGAAUAAGGAUCGGCUAACUCCGUGCCAGCAGCCGCGGUAAUACGGAGGAUCCAAGCGUUAUCCGGAUUUAUUGGGUUUAAAGGGUGCGUAGGCGGGUUGAUAAGUUAGUGGUGAAAUGUCUGAGCUUAACUCUGGAACUGCCUCUGAUACUGGUGACCUAGAGAGUAGAUGCGGUAGGCGGAAUGUAUGGUGUAGCGGUGAAAUGCUUAGAGAUCAUACAGAACACCGAUUGCGAAGGCAGCUUACCAAUCUAUAUCUGACGCUGAGGCACGAAAGCGUGGGGAGCAAACAGGAUUAGAUACCCUUGUAGUC
This 460-nucleotide ribosomal RNA is filed under the name uncultured bacterium. Its description in RNAcentral is "partial 16S ribosomal RNA". It matches the Rfam family "Bacterial small subunit ribosomal RNA", at positions 338 to 795 of the family's 1533-position model. The record is from RNAcentral.